This 459-nucleotide ribosomal RNA is filed under the name uncultured bacterium. RNAcentral's name for it is "partial 16S ribosomal RNA". It matches the Rfam family "Bacterial small subunit ribosomal RNA", at positions 338 to 795 of the family's 1533-position model. The record is from RNAcentral.
CCUACGGGCGGCAGCAGUGAGGAAUAUUGGUCAAUGGCCGGAAGGCUGAACCAGCCAAGCCGCGUGAGGGAGGAAGGCGCAGAGCGUCGUAGACCUCUUUUGUCGGGGGACAAAAGGCCGGACGGGUCCGGUUCUGAGGGUACCCGGAGAAAAAGCAUCGGCUAACUCCGUGCCAGCAGCCGCGGUAAUACGGAGGAUGCGAGUGUUAUCCGGAUUUCUUGGGUUUAAAGGGUGCGCAGGGGGGCCUUUAAGCCGGCGGGGAAAUUGCGGGGCUCAACCCCGCCGAGCGGUUGGAACUGGGGGCCUUGAGUGCGGCGGAGGCAUGCGGAAUGCGCGGUGUAGCGGUGAAAUGCAUAGAUAUCGCGCAGAACCCCGAUUGCGAAGGCAGCGUGCCGUGCCGCCACUGACGCUGAGGCACGAAAGCGCGGGGAUCGAACAGGAUUAGAUACCCCUGUAGUC